RNAcentral lists this ribosomal RNA (439 nucleotides) under uncultured bacterium. Its description in RNAcentral is "partial 16S ribosomal RNA". It matches the Rfam family "Bacterial small subunit ribosomal RNA", at positions 339 to 795 of the family's 1533-position model. The record is from RNAcentral.
CUACGGGUUGCACCAGUGGGGAAUAUUGCACAAUGGGGGAAACCCUGAUGCAGCAACGCCGCGUGGAGGAUGACGCAUUUCGGUGUGUAAACUCCUUUUAUAUCCCAAGAUAAUGACGGUAGGAUAUGAAUAAGCACCGGCUAACUCCGUGCCAGCAGCCGCGGUAAUACGGAGGGUGCAAGCGUUACUCGGAAUCACUGGGCGUAAAGGAUGCGUAGGCUGGAAAUCAAGUCAGGAGUGAAAUCCAACGGCUCAACCGUUGAACUGCUUCUGAAACUGGUUACCUAGAAUGUGGGAGAGGUAGAUGGAAUUAGUGGUGUAGGGGUAAAAUCCGUAGAGAUCACUAGGAAUACCGAUUGCGAAGGCGAUCUACUGGAACACUAUUGACGCUGAGGCAUGAAAGCGUGGGGAGCAAACAGGAUUAGAUACCCGGGUAGUC